Kalaharituber pfeilii is the source of this 108-nucleotide non-coding RNA. NCBI's taxonomy places the organism in Eukaryota, Fungi, Ascomycota, Pezizomycetes, Pezizales, Pezizaceae. The record is from the annotation of a GenBank genome assembly.
GACGUCGUGCCCGAGUGGUUAAGGGGAGUGACUAGAAUAUGGUACUAACCAGUAACAUAGAUUAUCACUUACGGUCUCCGUGCGCAAGUUCGAGUCUUGUCGACGUCG